Molecule: ribosomal RNA, 1367 nt
Filed under: uncultured bacterium
Lineage: Bacteria
Description: bacterial SSU rRNA
Rfam family: Bacterial small subunit ribosomal RNA
Source: RNAcentral
AGAGUUUGAUCCUGGCUCAGGAUGAACGCUAGCUACAGGCUUAACACAUGCAAGUCGAGGGGAAACGACAUCGAAAGCUUGCUUUUGAUGGGCGUCGACCGGCGCACGGGUGAGUAACGCGUAUCCAACCUGCCCAUCACUUGGGAAUAACCUUGCGAAAGUAAGACUAAUACCCAAUGACAUCCAUAGAAGACAUCUGAAAUGGAUUAAAGAUUUAUCGGUGAUGGAUGGGGAUGCGUCUGAUUAGCUUGUUGGCGGGGUAACGGCCCACCAAGGCGACGAUCAGUAGGGGUUCUGAGAGGAAGGUCCCCCACAUUGGAACUGAGACACGGUCCAAACUCCUACGGGAGGCAGCAGUGAGGAAUAUUGGUCAAUGGGCGAGAGCCUGAACCAGCCAAGUAGCGUGCAGGAUGACGGCCCUAUGGGUUGUAAACUGCUUUUAUAAGGGAAUAAAGUGAGUCUCGUGAGACUUUUUGCAUGUACCUUAUGAAUAAGGACCGGCUAAUUCCGUGCCAGCAGCCGCGGUAAUACGGAAGGUCCGGGCGUUAUCCGGAUUUAUUGGGUUUAAAGGGAGCGUAGGCCGGAGAUUAAGCGUGUUGUGAAAUGUAGAGGCUCAACCUCUGCACUGCAGCGCGAACUGGUCUUCUUGAGUACGCACAACGUGGGCGGAAUUCGUGGUGUAGCGGUGAAAUGCUUAGAUAUCACGAAGAACUCCGAUUGCGAAGGCAGCUCACGGGAGCGCAACUGACGCUGAAGCUCGAAAGUGCGGGUAUCGAACAGGAUUAGAUACCCUGGUAGUCCGCACGGUAAACGAUGGAUGCCCGCUGUUGGUCUGAAUAGGUCAGCGGCCAAGCGAAAGCAUUAAGCAUCCCACCUGGGGAGUACGCCGGCAACGGUGAAACUCAAAGGAAUUGACGGGGACCCGCACAAGCGGUGGAGCAUGUGGUUUAAUUCGAAGCAACGCGAAGAACCUUACCAAGUCUUGACAUCCUUCUGACCGGUACUUAACCGUACCUUCUCUUCGGAGCAGGAGUGACAGGUGGUGCAUGGUUGUCGUCAGCUCGUGUCGUGAGAUGUUGGGUUAAGUCCCGCAACGAGCGCAACCCUUAUCUUUAGUAGCCAGCGGUUUGGCCGGGCACUCUAGAGAGACUGCCAGGGAUAACCUGGAGGAAGGCGGGGAUGACGUCAAAUCAUCAUGCCCCUUAUGACUUGGGCUACACACGUGCUACAAUGGCGUAAACAAAGGGAAGCAAAGCUGUGAAGCCGAGCAAAUCUCAAAAAUAACGUCUCAGUUCGGACUGUAGUCUGCAACCCGACUACACGAAGCUGGAAUCACUAGUAAUCGCAGAUCAGAAUGCUGCGGUGAA